GGUACAUAGGCUGCAUUCAUCACCCAGGCUGGAGUGCAGUGGUGCAAUCAUAGCUAACUGCAGUCUGGAACUACAGGGCUCAAGCAAACCUCCCCUCAUACUCCUAAGUAGCUAGAGACACAGGUGGUCCUCGUGCCUAAGCCUUCCAGAGUGCUGGGAUUACAGUCAUGAGCCACUGCACCAUCUCAUGGUUCAGUAACUACUGAACUAUGUCUGAUUUAAAAAAUAUACCCUGCUUUAAUUAAUUACAAAAUGUCAAGCGGUUUCCUUCCUUUCUUCUUUUCUUCUCUGCCUCCUCUCAUUUCUUCCCUAGUUCGUUUUUCUAACAAUAUUAGGUACAGUUCCAGUGGAUCUAAGAUAUUCAUGUUCUAGUGCACAAAAAGCAAACUAAUAGUCCAAAAGCACACUACCAAACAGCAAACUAACAGGUAAGAUAUGGCAGAUGUCAAUAUACUCAUUUAAAAACUACAAUUAAACCUAAAGCAUAUACACUUUAUGUUGGAACACCAAAAUGUAGGCAUUAUUUCACCCAUGAUUUUCUGCUUCUCCAAGUUAGGAAGUGUGGUGAUUAUGUAUGACAGGUGGAACAAGCAUGGUGGCAUAGAAAUACAGUAGUGACCUUCUCAUGCUAGGGAUGGUCUCACCCUCCAGGAACAGUAAGCCAUUUUAGAAGACUGAUGGACCAGAACAUGGCUUCAUAUUUUAUAAUUAAGUAAAACAGAUAUCUUGUCUUCUAUAAGCAAACAUCAUGUUCUUUGAAAAGGCCAUGCCUUUCAAUUACAAGGGAAGUAUCAACAAAGAGCCACUGUCUUAUCACAGUUGUGGCAAUACACUGGUUGCUUAUGGAUACAAUCCAUGAAUGGGUUUUUAUAGUGAUAUUUAUGCUGGGUUUUUAUCCUCCUUCUUCACCUUCUUCUGCUUCUCCCCCUCCUCCUCUUUCUCCUCUUCUUCUCUGGGCUCCUCUUCCUCCAUUUUCUGCUUCUCCUCCUCCUCCUUAUUCUCCGAAUCUCCUGUGAUGAAAAU
Molecule: long non-coding RNA, 1023 nt
Filed under: Homo sapiens (human)
Lineage: Eukaryota; Metazoa; Chordata; Mammalia; Primates; Hominidae
Description: HSALNT0073381
Source: RNAcentral